AAUUCUCGGUCACGAUUUGAUACAUAAUUUCUGUGUAUAAAAGUUCUCAUAAAAUGCAUAAACGAUCCUCUCGUUGAGAGAUUAGCAACGGUAUAUCCCACGUAGCGUUAAAAAUCUAGAACUCCCCGAAUUUGCCCAUAAAAAAUAAUUACAAAAUAUACCCCGUACUUAAUCAUAGAUUACACUUCAACCCCAAAUAGGAUCCAAACUAAAAUAUCUACUAUCAAAUCAUCUCUAGGCACAUAAUUAUACUUAUUAGCCGUUAAUCACGUACUUAAAAAGAUUAAAAGUAUUUAAACAGGUCAGGAUAUUAUAUUGCACAUCCACCGCAGUGAGAUAGGGUAUAGGGUUGGUGAUGGUGUUUUGGAUGGUUGGAUUGAGAUUUGGGUUUGAUGAAUUAAGCAAUCAUAGAUGGGUGAGUGUUUGGGAUUUCGAGAUUAAAAAUUUGAAGAGGCAUGGCAUAGCCUGGGUAAGAAUUGGAUUAUGUGCUUGCGCAGGGGUAAGAUUUGGGUUCUUCUCAGUUUUUGGGUUAGCUAGUUGGUGGUUGUAGGGGGCUGGUGGUGGGUGGAAUCUAGGCUUGGUUUCGAUUUUGGGCCUGCUUAGUGCUCUGAACAAGCAACAAAUCAGUCAAAGCACGAAUUGCUGUGAGGAUCUCAAUUUGAGUAUCGUGGAUAGCCUGCAACGCUUCAAUGGUUAUAUCAACCUGAAUAAGCCUCUCAGUCGAGGAGGUCUAGCUAUGAGCUUCCCUUCUUCCAUCUCCACCAGCACCUUCUCCUUCCACCAUCUCUAUUUUGGUCACUUCCUGGCCACUUCUCAGACUAACCAUUCACAAAUCCUCCUCCCUAGCAGAGUCACCCAAAGAUGUGGGUAUGGAUUCGUGUUUGUUACCAGAGAGAUAGGAACAUGCAAAUGAUUUCGCCAGAAUGAAUAGAGAAAGAUUGGAGAUUGAAGUACAAAGCUGAGUGAAGUGGGAGCACCACGCAACUUGGUAUAAGAACAAA
RNAcentral lists this long non-coding RNA (1001 nucleotides) under Actinidia chinensis (golden kiwifruit). RNAcentral's name for it is "long non-coding RNA (ACHI_LNC003699)". Lineage: Eukaryota; Viridiplantae; Streptophyta; Magnoliopsida; Ericales; Actinidiaceae. The record is from RNAcentral.